This 307-nucleotide ribosomal RNA is filed under the name uncultured bacterium. RNAcentral describes it as "bacterial SSU rRNA". It matches the Rfam family "Bacterial small subunit ribosomal RNA", at positions 28 to 348 of the family's 1533-position model. The record is from RNAcentral.
GAUAAACGCUGGCGGCGUGCCUAACACAUGCAAGUCGAACGCCCUUUUGCGCAAGUGAGAGGGAGUGGCGGACGGGUGAGUACCACGUGGGUACCUACCUUGAGGUGAGGAAUACCACCGAGAAAUCGGUGACAAGACCGCAUACGCUUGGCAACAAGCAAAGUCUCGCAAGAGACGCCACAAGAUGGGCCUGCGCCUGAUUAGCUAGUUGGUGAGGUAAUGGCUCACCAAGGCGACGAUCAGUAGCUGGUCUGAGAGGAUGAUCAGCCACACUGGGAUUGAGAACGGCCCAGACUCCUACGGGGGC